GUGGCACUUCAACCAUCUCUCUCCUUCCCCUCUGUGUCAGUGGGGCCCAACAGGGAUCUGAGCUUACACUUCAACUUAAAAGCACAAACUAUGUGGAUUUGCUGUGGGGAUGCACAGAUGGAUGAAGGUUAUGCACAGAAAGUGUUAUUCACAGAAGGGGGUAAGGCUACUGAAACAACACACGUCGUCUUACAAUAAGAUGAUUCACCUCAGACCAGCCUGGGCAACAUGAUUCAUCAUUACCUUUGGGGGCAUGUUUAAAAGAGAUGCUUUCAUGUCCAAGUCUGGAAAUCCCAGCAU
Long non-coding RNA from Gorilla gorilla gorilla (western lowland gorilla), 300 nucleotides. RefSeq lists it as uncharacterized. The record is from RefSeq and is a predicted model, not a curated record. The transcript has 3 exons. Lineage: Eukaryota; Metazoa; Chordata; Mammalia; Primates; Hominidae.